CAACUACUCCCUCUGUCCCAAAUUUCUUGUCUUAGAUUUGUCUAUAUACCUAUGUAUCUAAUACUAAAAUGUGACUUGAUACAUCCGUAUCUAGACAAAUCUAAGACAAGAAUUUUGGGACGGAGGGAGUACUUU
Non-coding RNA from Triticum aestivum (bread wheat), 135 nucleotides. Lineage: Eukaryota; Viridiplantae; Streptophyta; Magnoliopsida; Poales; Poaceae. The record is from Rfam.